UCUCGAUUGGUCUAGUGGUCAGGAUACCUGCUUGUCAUUAGCUUACCUAAGCGCGCAGGUGGCCGGGGUUCGAUUCCCCGAUCGAGAG
Molecule: non-coding RNA, 88 nt
Organism: Microdochium trichocladiopsis
Lineage: Eukaryota; Fungi; Ascomycota; Sordariomycetes; Xylariales; Microdochiaceae
Source: the annotation of a RefSeq genome assembly